UACGAAGGGGGCUAGCGUUGCUCGGAAUUACUGGGCGUAAAGCGCACGUAGGCGGUUUCUUAAGUCGGGGGUGAAAUCCUGGAGCUCAACUCCAGAACUGCCUUCGAUACUGGGAAACUUGAGUCCGGGAGAGGUGAGUGGAACUGCGAGUGUAGAGGUGAAAUUCGUAGAUAUUCGCAAGAACACCAGUGGCGAAGGCGACUAACUGGACAAGUAUUGACGCUGAGGUACGAAAGCGUGGGGAGCAAACAGG
RNAcentral lists this ribosomal RNA (253 nucleotides) under uncultured bacterium. RNAcentral describes it as "partial 16S ribosomal RNA". It matches the Rfam family "Bacterial small subunit ribosomal RNA", at positions 524 to 776 of the family's 1533-position model. The record is from RNAcentral.